CCUACGGGAGGCAGCAGUGAGGAAUAUUGGUCAAUGGACGAGAGUCUGAACCAGCCAAGUAGCGUGAAGGAUGACUGCCCUAUGGGUUGUAAACUUCUUUUAUAUGGGAAUAAAAUGUUCCACGUGUGGGAUUUUGUAUGUACCAUAUGAAUAAGGAUCGGCUAACUCCGUGCCAGCAGCCGCGGUAAUACGGAGGAUUCGAGCGUUAUCCGGAUUUAUUGGGUUUAAAGGGAGCGUAGGUGGAUUGUUAAGUCAGUUGUGAAAGUUUGUGGCUCAACCGUAAAAUUGCAGUUGAAACUGGCAGUCUUGAGUACAGUAGAGGUGGGCGGAAUUCGUGGUGUAGCGGUGAAAUGCUUAGAUAUCACGAAGAACUCCGAUUGCGAAGGCAGUUCACUGGACUGCAACUGACACUGAGGCUCGAAAGUGUGGGUAUCAAACAGGAUUAGAUACCCCUGUAGUC
This 460-nucleotide ribosomal RNA is filed under the name uncultured bacterium. RNAcentral describes it as "partial 16S ribosomal RNA". It matches the Rfam family "Bacterial small subunit ribosomal RNA", at positions 338 to 795 of the family's 1533-position model. The record is from RNAcentral.